GCUACGGGUGGCAGCAGUGAGGAAUAUUGGUCAAUGGACGGAAGUCUGAACCAGCCAUGCCGCGUGCAGGAAGACGGCUCUAUGAGUUGUAAACUGCUUUUGUACAAGGGUAAACCUGAAUACGUGUAUUCAGCUGAAAGUACUGUACGAAUAAGGAUCGGCUAACUCCGUGCCAGCAGCCGCGGUAAUAUGGGGGAUCCAAGCGUUAUCCGGAUUUAUUGGGUUUAAAGGGGGCGUAGGCGGUUUGGUAAGUUAGAGGUGAAAUGCCGGGGCUCAACACCGGAACUGCCGUUAAUACUGUUGAACUAGAGCGUAGUUGCGGUAGGCGGAAUGUAUGGUGUAGCGGUGAAAUGCUUAGAGAUCAUACAGAACACCGAUUGCGAAGGCAGCUUACCAAACUAUAUCUGACGUUGAGGCACGAAAGCGUGGGUAGCAAACAGGAUUAGAUACCCGAGUAGUC
RNAcentral lists this ribosomal RNA (460 nucleotides) under uncultured bacterium. Its description in RNAcentral is "partial 16S ribosomal RNA". It matches the Rfam family "Bacterial small subunit ribosomal RNA", at positions 338 to 795 of the family's 1533-position model. The record is from RNAcentral.